AUUGCUUCUUGGCCUUUUGGUGAAGAUCAAGUGUAGUAUCUGUUCCCAUCAGUUCAAAUGUAGUUACCAGCAAAUGUGAAAGCACGUAUGUGUGUAUCUCAACAUUUCUGUUGAACAGCAAGGUUCUUCUAGAACCUCGUUCCUUAAAGUGUGGUCCCUGCACCAGCAGCAUCACGAUUUCCUAA
Molecule: small nuclear RNA, 185 nt
Organism: Artibeus jamaicensis (Jamaican fruit-eating bat)
Lineage: Eukaryota; Metazoa; Chordata; Mammalia; Chiroptera; Phyllostomidae
Product: U2 spliceosomal RNA
Exons: 1
Source: RefSeq, a predicted model, not a curated record